AGUGGGUGUAGCGUACCUACUAGCCUACGACGGGUACGGGUUGUGAGAGCAAGAGCCCGGAGAUGGAUUCUGAGACACGAAUCCAGGCCCUACGGGGUGCAGCAGGCGCGAAAACUUUACAAUGCUGGCAACAGCGAUAAGGGAACCUCGAGUGCCAGGUUACAAAUCUGGCUGUCGAGAUGCCUAAAAAGCAUUUCAUAGCAAGGGCCGGGCAAGACCGGUGCCGGCCGCCGCGGUAACACCGGCGGCUCGAGUGGUAACCGUUAUUAUUGGGUCUAAAGGGUCUGUAGCCGGCCGGAUAAGUCUCUUGAGAAAUCUGGCAGCUUAACUGUCAGGCUUUCAGGAGAUACUGUCUGGCUCGAGGCCGGGAGAGGUGAGAGGUACUUCAGGGGUAGGGGUGAAAUCUUGUAAUCCUUGAAGGACCACCAGUGGCGAAGGCGUCUCACCAGAACGGACCUGACGGCAAGGGACGAAAGCUAGGGGCACGAACCGGAUUAGAU
RNAcentral lists this ribosomal RNA (500 nucleotides) under uncultured microorganism. Its description in RNAcentral is "bacterial SSU rRNA". It matches the Rfam family "Archaeal small subunit ribosomal RNA", at positions 234 to 734 of the family's 1478-position model. The record is from RNAcentral.